AUCAAGGCAUCACAAAGGAAGCACUUGAUUCCUUGAUAAACUACCAUGAACUAUUAAAAUGGCCAUCAGUUAUUCCUCGACGUUGCAAUGAUUAGUCUUGACUCCUUUCGCGAAACCUUUCAUUGAAUCAUCUAUUAGUCUUGCUAGGAUUUCCCAAUGCACAUACCAACAUAGAGAUGGACAUGGAGCUCCUGAUAGCAGAUCAAAG
This 208-nucleotide unclassified non-coding RNA is filed under the name Hevea brasiliensis (rubber tree). Lineage: Eukaryota; Viridiplantae; Streptophyta; Magnoliopsida; Malpighiales; Euphorbiaceae. The record is from RNAcentral.